This 321-nucleotide ribosomal RNA is filed under the name Salmonella enterica. RNAcentral's name for it is "bacterial SSU rRNA". It matches the Rfam family "Bacterial small subunit ribosomal RNA", at positions 1 to 319 of the family's 1533-position model. Lineage: Bacteria; Pseudomonadati; Pseudomonadota; Gammaproteobacteria; Enterobacterales; Enterobacteriaceae. The record is from RNAcentral.
AAAUUGAAGAGUUUGAUCAUGGCUCAGAUUGAACGCUGGCGGCAGGCCUAACACAUGCAAGUCGAACGGUAACAGGAAGCAGCUUGCUGCUUCGCUGACGAGUGGCGGACGGUGAGUAAUGUCUGGGAAACUGCCUGAUGGAGGGGGAUAACUACUGGAAACGGUGGCUAAUACCGCAUAACGUCGCAAGACCAAAGAGGGGGACCUUCGGGCCUCUUGCCAUCAGAUGUGCCCAGAUGGGAUUAGCUUGUUGGUGAGGUAACGGCUCACCAAGGCGACGAUCCCUAGCUGGUCUGAGAGGAUGACCAGCCACACUGGAAC